UUUAUAUUGACCAAUCAAAAUCGUCCUAAUGAAAGGGCUUCAAAAGAAUGUUUGAAGAUGGCGACGAAGGAUGAAAGAGGAUUUGGAAAACGAAUAAACAGAUAUUUUGCCUCAUCACAAAGUUUAAGGGCUAAAUUGUUAGUGUCUGAUCAAACAGUAGUUUGGACUCCAGUCUGAAAAACCCUAGAUUCUGACAAUGUUUCUUUCAAUUUGUGACUGGGCCAAACAAAUUACACGGUGGAGGGAACUCUUAAAACACACAGACAGUGACACAGAAAAAGCCACUACAAGCAUCUGAAGAUGAAUCUGAGAAUGGCACUACAGAUAUAGGUUGUGAACCAGCUCUAGAGUUUCAACAUACAGAUCUUAGCCUAUGGUACAUGUAUUCAUUCUCGUCCCUGGUGACACUUGCUGACGGAAGGAAAAUCAUAUUUCUUACAUUUACAUGUUUUGUUCAUGCCUGUUCCUUUGCAUUUGCACCCAUGCUUGUUUUGCAGCAGCAUGCAAUGAAAUUCCUUUUGUUUUACAAAUUACAUUUUCAAUUUUGUAUGUCAAAAGUUCUAUUGCACUCAUAACCUAACAAUAUGCCAAAUAAUAGUUUGUAUAAAAUUGCAUCCUUAAUAAUAAUAUCAGCAACCCUACAUCCAGAGUUACUCUUCUCACAAUAACAAAUAUAAAAAAGAAGAUGUGGUAUGAUUGCCAAUGAGACGACUAUCUACAAAAACUUUUUCAUUCUUUGCCUACUUUUUAACACUAUUUUAUUAUAGUUUUUAGUUUUUUUGGAACAGAUUUUUAUAUAAUUUAUGUCCAUUUUCUUCCGUGAUAUACUGUA
Long non-coding RNA from Mytilus trossulus (common blue mussel), 832 nucleotides. RefSeq lists it as uncharacterized. Lineage: Eukaryota; Metazoa; Mollusca; Bivalvia; Mytilida; Mytilidae. The record is from RefSeq and is a predicted model, not a curated record. The transcript has 3 exons.